UAGAGAUGGAGUGUCACUGUGUUUCCCAAGCUGGUCUUGCACUCCUGGGCUUAAGUGUUACCCCAGUCCCAGCCUGCUAACAUGCUGGGAUUGAAGGCGUGAGUCACUGCUCCUGGUCAGCCUUGUCAUUUUUUUAAUGAUAUCUUUCAAAAAUAGAUGUAUUUUUAACUUUUACGACAUUCAAUUUGAUAUUUUGUAUUUUAUGGUUUGUGCUUUUUGAUGUCCUAAGAAAUUUUGCCUACCCUAAGGUCACAAAAAUGUGCUGUUAAGAUUUUCUUUUAGAAGUUUUAUAGUUUGUUUUUUAUCUUUAGAUCUAUGAUCUAUUUUGAGAUUUUAUGUAUGGUAUGAGAUAAGAGUAAAGGUUCACUUUUUUCCCAUACAUAUAUUCAAUUAUUCUAGCACCAUUAGAAAAACUUCCCUUACUCUGUGGAAUUACCUUUGCUUUUUCAUUAAGAAAUAAUUGGUCACAUAUGUUUGGCUCCAUUUCUGGACUCUGUUUCAUUGAUUUGUAUGUCUAUCUUUAUGUUAAUACCACUUUGUCUUAAUAACUAUAGAAUUAUAAUAAAUCUUGAAAUCAGACAGGGCAAGUAUCCCACAUUUGUUGUUUAUAAAAAUUGUUUUAACCAUUGUAGGUCUUUUGCAGUUUUAUAAAAAUUUUAGAAUCCACUUGUCAAGAUUGCAUUACAACUAUAGAUCAAUUUGGGGAGAACUGAUUUUUGACAAUAUUGUUUUCCAAUUCAUAUCUAUUUAUUUAGAUCUUUAAUUUCUCUCAGCAAUGUUUUGUAGUUUUCAGUGCACAAGUAUUGUACCAUUUUGUUAAGUUAUCCCUAAAUAUAUAAUUUUUUAAUGGUGUUGAGAAUGCGAUAAUAAAAUUUCUUUUCCCUUGGUCUUGAUAGUAUGUAGAAAUACAUUUGAUUUUUGUAUGUCGAGCUGGUAUUCUAUGAUCUAAAACUUCUUAUUUCUAGUAGCAUUUCUGUAGACUCAGGAUUUUCUAUGUACAUAGUCAUGUCACGUGAGAAUAAAGAUAGUUUUGCUUCUUAUUUUCAAAUCUACAUGACACUUAUUUCUUACUUUUCUCUUUCACUGACUGGAAUCUCCUGUAUAAUGUCUGUUAGAGCUGGUAAGAACAGAUAUUCUUGCUUUGUUCAUGAUUUUAGAUUAGAACUCAUUCCAUCUUUUACCACUGAGUAUAAAGCUAGUUUAGGCUUGUCAUAGACACCAUUCAUCAAUUGAGAUAAUUCUCUGCUCCUAGUUUGUUGAGAGUUUUUAUGGUGAAUAGAUGUGGAAUUUUGUCAAAUGGUUUUGUUUGCAUUUUUCAUUUGUUUUUUUUUAUCUCUUGAGGUGAUCAUAUAGUUGUUCUCUUUUUAUUCUGUUAACAUGGUGAGUUGUGUUGAUGAAGUUUUAAAUGUUGAAUAACCUUUGCAUUCCUGGGAUAAACUCUAUUUGCUUACAAUAUGUUAUUCCUUUUAAAAUCUCAAGAUGACUCUCGUGGAGGCAGUUAGCUUGAGGCUGGGGAGUGCUGAGCAGCAUGUCAUGCCCUGCACUUGUCCAGACUAGUGAACAAUACAGUCAGGAUGGCUAAAGAUGAUUCCAAGAAACCAAAGGGCAAGAUGUCUGCUUAUGCCUUCUUUGUGAAGAUGUGCAGAGAAGAACAUAAGAAGAAAACCCCAGAGGUCCGUCAAUUUUGCAGAAUUUUCCAGGAAGUGCCCUGAGAGGUGGAAGACAAUGUCUGGGAAAGAGAAGUCUAAAUUUGAUGAAAUGGCAAAGGCAGAUAAAGUAUGCUAUGAUAGGGAAAUGAAGGAUUAUGGACCAGCUAAGGAAGGCAUUAGGAUCCUUUUUCUUGCCUCCCUUAGUUGGACCCUAAUCCUUCGUUUGGAUCCCACUAUGUGGAUUCUUCCUGUUCUGUUCUGAAUUCUGCCCCAAUAUUAAAUCCACAAACCCUGGUAUCUCUAUUGGAAAUGUCGCAAAAAGGCUGGGUGAGAUGUGGAUUAACAUGUAACAGUGAAAAGCUGCCUUACAUCACCAAGGUGACAAAGCUGAAGUAUAAGAACGAUGUUGCUGACUAAAAGAAAGUUUGAUGGUGCAAAGCGUCCUGCUAAAGUUGCCUGGAAAAAGGUGGAAGAGGAAGACAAAGAUGACGAGUAGGAAGAAGAGGAGGAGAAGGAUGAAUUUUAAAAACUGUUUAUCUGUCUCCUUGUGACUACGUUAGACUAGGGGAGCACCUUAAUUAACACAUCAAGUGUCUGUUGCCCUCAUUAGGUUUAAUUACUAAAUUUGAUCACGAUCAGAUUGUAGUCUCUCAAAGUGCUCCAGAAAUUGUCAGUGGUUUACAUGAAAUGGCCAUCAGUGUCCAGAGCACCCUGAAGCUGUAUCAACAUUGUACGUAUUUCUAAACAUUUUUAAAAUGAAAAAAUAAUCUUGUGUUCUCCUCACUGCGCACUUUGCUGUUGGUGAGACAAGGCAUUUAAAGAUGUUUCUGCACCCUCCCCUUCCCCCUUUUCUUUAACUUGUGAAGUGGUGUUAACUUACAGUUAUUGGCUUGAAAUCCUGAGUUAUCAACUGUAUUUAUCUCUAGUUUGUAAAAAGAACAAAACAAUGGAGACAAACUCUUGACACUCCUUGCUUGGCAUUGAGGCUGCAGGGGAAGAUGCCUUUUGGAGGGGUCGUAGCUCAUGCACUGUGAGGUUGGACCCGGUGUCUGCAGCAGGCAUCCAUUUAACUUCAGGUUGUCAUGUUUCUGUAUAUAAUGACAUAGCAUUCUGCCUCCAUUCUUAGCUGUAAACAAAGGAGGCUCAGCUGGCAUGAGAAGUGCUUUUUGUUUGUUUGUUUCAGUUAAGUGUGAUAGUUUUUAAACUGUUUCUUAAACAAACUCUAGAAUUCUUCAGUGUCAGCAAAGUGAAGAGCCACUGCAUCAAUGAAAAUUCAAAAACCUUCUGUACUUAAACACGAUUUGCAAUGUUGUUUUUCUUUGUGUAUUUAGA
Chlorocebus sabaeus (green monkey) is the source of this 2981-nucleotide non-coding RNA. Lineage: Eukaryota; Metazoa; Chordata; Mammalia; Primates; Cercopithecidae. The record is from RefSeq and is a predicted model, not a curated record.